Cavia porcellus (domestic guinea pig) is the source of this 4218-nucleotide long non-coding RNA. RefSeq lists it as uncharacterized. The record is from RefSeq and is a predicted model, not a curated record. The transcript is spliced from 2 exons. NCBI's taxonomy places the organism in Eukaryota, Metazoa, Chordata, Mammalia, Rodentia, Caviidae.
GACCCCAAUCCAGGGCCUGCGAUCCUCAGGCAUCCCUCAAGCCUCUGAUGGGACCCACUAGGACCAAGAAAAGACCCAGGCAUCACCCCUCUGUGUCCUGAAUUCUGGUACACCCCAGGAAGAAGCAGUCAGUCCUGAGCCACCUGUCGCUGUCAUGGAGACCUGUCGCCUCCCACUGUUGUUGUGGCUGCGCCUGCCCCAGCCACCAACGCGGGAAAACGGCGCAGACUACAACAUCCGGCGUGCUCCGCGGGCCUGGCUCGUUUAGCAAAGAAAGCCAGGAGCCUCAUGGGAUUCGUAUUACAAGCCGCGGGGCCCCAUCAGUGAGAGCCCUGCAAAGUAGGGACCUCUGGAGGUCCGAACACCAAGUUUUUCCUUCCAAAAGAAACAUGCAUAUGAGAGACUCGGGUAGAUUUACUCAAUGGAAGUCUUGGAUCUUUCCCUGGAGGCCAGAACUCCGCUAUCCCGUGGCGCGCAAGCAUCUAGCCCCGGGGGCCUCAAUCAGAGAAUUGCGCCUGCGCGGCCCCGCCCCCUCCCUGGACGCGAGAGCGUGCCAGCCCCACCCGGGCACCGCGGCUUGUGUUCCCGCGGUCGAACACCGCUACGUAGGUCCGUAAGAAGACGUCUCCGAGGAUCCAGAGGGGUCCUGCAGGCGGAGGCACAUCCAAGGCCUGGAAGCCGGACAAGCAGAGGCGGAAGCCACCUUGGGAAAUCUGCAAAACGCCAAGAUAGGGCCACAGGGUACCCGUUACGGGUUCCGGCUGCUGGCCCCGCCUUGGUCCUCUCCCAGCUUCGUCCUCUCAAGCCCAGCGCUCGCUGCGUCUCUCUGACGUCACCGUGACAGUCACUCACCUGGAUGACGUAGUCCUGGGCCGUCAGGUUAAACCAGACCCCUCCAAGGAGGAAGGAGAUUGGGGGCAGCGUUGGGAUUUUCGAGCACUGAAUGAAGUGCUGGAGAAAAGAGGAACGAAUUAAGAUGGGCAAUUCGUGCUCUGCUCAAAUCCCUCCCCUGGCUCCCUAGUGCCAUUGGCAGUGUCUUUUGUACGCAGCUAAAUAUCCAGGGCCUGGUGUGCACAGGCUGGUUAACUACGCUUUCCUCACCCAGGCCUACAUAAUCUGCUUUCUCCCCCGUCACUCGGGCAAUCGCAGGGGGUGUUUUUGCUUCCUCCAUGCUGCAGCCCAUCCCUCAGCGGUCCAGGCCCAUCUGUGCUGGGUACUUCCUUGGCUACCUGCUUCCCACUGCCAGCAGUCAGACUCCUGUCUGCCUCCCCAGCCCACGUCCGCCAGAGAAUGGGUUCUUACCUCACCAGCCAGCCAGGGGAGGCCCCCGAUGGCCCUGUGCAGAGCCCGGAUCUCCUCAGAGGGUCCUGUGAUGAGGGAUGUUCCUGUGUCCACGAUGGCAGCACAGCCUUGGGCACAGAGAGUCAGCCCCGUGCCCACCAUCACUCUGUGUGUGUGGGCAUAGUCAUUAGAGGCUGGGCCCUAGAGCUCCAGAGCCCCGGACCCAGCCUCUGACCUGAGAGGCUGCCCUUCUCACCGGUCCAUGUGGAUCUGCCAGUAGGCAGGGAUGGUGACCGGCACGAAGGUGAGCGGUGGGAUGUAGUGAGCCGGGUCCGAGCCCCCCAGGACCAGUUCGCCUCCAUGAGUUCCUUCAAAGUCCCUGCAGAGAGGCCGGGGAUUUGGCUCAGUGGUGUAAGCACCUGCCCGAUGAGCGUGAGGUCAUGAGUUCGAUCCCCCCCCCAAAAAAAAAGGCCCUACAGAGGCAGAGUGCUGUACGUGACCUUGUGUCAGCUGCGUGUUAUCUCAGUUCUAGAUGGGAUGGUGGGAUGUGGGGCUGAGAGCAAGGUAAAAGAGAAACCUCCCCCCCCCCCAGCCCUUUUAUUAAUUUAUUUUAUAUUUGGAAAAGGGUCUCACUGCGAAGUUCAGGCUGGCCUUGAACUCACUUUGUAGCCAAGGUUGGUCUUGAAUUUGCAACAAUCCUUCUACCUCAGACUCCCGAGUGCUGGGAUUACAGAUAUGUGCCACCGAGCUCAGCUUUAUUAUCAUAUUUUGAGACUGGGUCUCAGGAAGUUUUCCAAACUGGCCUUGACCUAACGAUCUGGAAGUACAGGCCUGUGCACCUUUUAAUAGACAGCCCUCCUAUUCCUCCAGGAAGCCCCAUCUCCGGAGGAGGUGGGAGUCAGGAUGACUGAGUGGGCACAGGAAUUUCUGACAGGGCGAUGGGCCCUCUUGGAUGAGUGAGAUUUUCUGAGCAUAAGGUGAACUUCCUGAAAGGCAGGCAACUCUCUGGGCUACAGUGGGCAAUUUGGGACUUCUGAUGAGUGCUCUUGAGUGGAAUUUAAGCUUGCUUUAGGGUAAAGAGAGGGUUCCCAAGUUGAGUAGUUAGUUGGGUGAGGUGUGGAAUUUCCUGUUUGGUUUUGAAAUAAGGAGCAUUUUGAAUUGAGGGUAAGUUUUCUUAGUGUGCCUUUAAGUUGUCACUUAAGUUGGAGGGCUUCUUAGGGUUCAGGUGCUCUCAUAUUGGGCAAGUGUUUUCCUGAAUGGAGAGCGAAACUUCCUCUUUGGGGGAUGACUUCCCAAAACGACAGUGGCGCUUGCUGCCCUGGAUCUCCUGAAGGGGGUCAGGAGUCCCCCAGGGGGCCAGGACUCAGAUAAAGAGAGCUCCCCCCCAGUACCUGUUGAGAUAAAAGGAGAAGACGGGCUUAUCCAGCAGCCCCUGCUCCACCAUGACAUCCAGCGGGGUUGGAACACCAUCCACGGCCAGAGCGGGAAAGCCAAGGCCAAAUAUCCCAUCGAAGGAGGCAAAAGCAAAGACCAGACUGGGCUCCCACAGAGCCUCCCCAAAAGUCACGGAUACGUUGUUGAUUCCCCCGAUCUAGGAGUAGAUUGAGAUGGGAAGACAUCACCCAGACAUCUCUGAGACUGUUGCUGAUCAAGGCAUAAAUCCUAGACCUGAAGACCUCUGGAAAGGUCGCAAAGUUUGAGAAGCCCCGCCCCAUUUGUCCGAGAGGCCACGCCCACUCCUCCGGGAAAGCCCCGCCCCCUUUGCCCCAGACCUCUCCAAGCUCUUCCCUAAACCACCAGGGCUGGACUCCCGGAGUCCUUGUAAUCUGAGCCUUCCUGAAGGCCACGCACGCACAGUCAGCUUGUCCUGGCUCAGAAUCCCGCUCAGCCUCCCCGUUCCAUAUUGAAUGGCGAACUUGGUCCCAUUGGGGCAGAAGGAGCUGGAGGCUUUGGGAUCAUAACGGUGAUGGAACCCUAGUUGAGAAGAACAGAGAGUUGUCGCAGGGAGACGGGAGUCCCUCCACCCACCCCGUGCCUUCUCAAAACACCCUGGGGAGCCGAGGCCCACCCCCUGCACCCCCAUCUCGGCUCACAGCAGGGCAAACUGAAGAAGCGACAGCUCUUGGACGGGACCCAGAGGUUGGAGGAGCCAGUGUCAAAGACGACGGAGAAGUUUUGUGGGGGCGUUCCCAGCCCAAUUUCCCCAAAAUACUGCACCUGGUAGCGAAGGAGGAGCUGAGAUCAAGAGUUUGCUUGCAUGCAUGAGGGUGGGGGGCUGCGGGGAGGCGACUCACGUUCAGGAACUUGGAGAGAGGCACAAAGAAGGGACUGUCCCCGUGGGGUGGGGCCCCCAGCCUAGAAGGCUCCAACAGCUCUGCCCAGGCCCGCAUGGGCCUCAGGAUGCCCUGUGGCAGGUGGACUCGGCGGAGUGGGACCCUAAGGGACAGGGGUGCCCAUGGUUAGAAAGCCACCCUUCCUGGGUACCUGCUCUAACAGACAGUCCCAACAAGGACACGGGACAAAAGAGAUGUCUCUGAGCCUGUGCAGUGCAUCGAUGACCAAAACCUCUACUGUAACGAUCUCCCAGGAACUGCUACCUAACGCACCUGAUAACAAAUAAUCCGAGGCUUUAGGAGAGCAAAGCAUCUAGGAAAGAUCAUCCCAAAGACCUGCCAAUAUCCACAUGCCUUAAAAUAAGCCGUCCCUCAAGGAAUGGGUGUUCUCAGAAGGUUCCAGGCACCUGACCCUAAAAUUUAACCCUUGCAAAAUGUCAGCCCCUAAACUGGGUUGUGGUGCACCCAAUCCCAGCACUCGGGAGGCUGAGGCAGGAGGACUGUUGUGAGUCUGAGACCAGUCUGGGCUACAAAGUGAACUCAAGGCCAGCCUGAACUGCAGAGUGCAACCCUGUCUCAGAAAGAUUAAAAAAAAAAAAAAUCA